GUGGGGAAUCUUAGACAAUGGGGGAAACCCUGAUCUAGCCAUGCCGCGUGAGCGAUGAAGGCCUUAGGGUUGUAAAGCUCUUUCAGAUGGGAAGAUAAUGACGGUACCAUCAGAAGAAGCCCCGGCUAACUCCGUGCCAGCAGCCGCGGUAAUACGGAGGGGGCUAGCGUUGUUCGGAAUUACUGGGCGUAAAGCGCACGUAGGCGGACCAGAAAGUCAGAGGUGAAAUCCCAGGGCUCAACCUUGGAACUGCCUUUGAAACUCCUGGUCUUGAGGUCGAGAGAGGUGAGUGGAAUUCCGAGUGUAGAGGUGAAAUUCGUAGAUAUUCGGAGGAACACCAGUGGCGAAGGCGGCUCACUGGCUCGAUACUGACGCUGAGGUGCGAAAGCGUGGGGAGCAAACAGGAUUAGAUACCCCGGUAGUCC
This 425-nucleotide ribosomal RNA is filed under the name uncultured bacterium. RNAcentral's name for it is "partial 16S ribosomal RNA". It matches the Rfam family "Bacterial small subunit ribosomal RNA", at positions 354 to 796 of the family's 1533-position model. The record is from RNAcentral.